UACAGAGGGUGCGAGCGUUGUCCGGAAUCACUGGGCGUAAAGGGCGCGUAGGUGGCCCGACAAGUCAAUGGUGAAAGUUCGACGCUUAACGUCGAAUCAGCCACUGAUACUGUUGGGCUGGAGCACUGUAGAGGCUCAUGGAAUUCCGGGUGUAGCGGUGGAAUGCGUAGAGAUCCGGAAGAACACCGGUGGCGAAGGCGGUGAGCUGGGCAGUUGCUGACACUGAGGCGCGACAGCGUGGGGAGCAAACAGG
RNAcentral lists this ribosomal RNA (253 nucleotides) under uncultured bacterium. RNAcentral describes it as "partial 16S ribosomal RNA". It matches the Rfam family "Bacterial small subunit ribosomal RNA", at positions 524 to 776 of the family's 1533-position model. The record is from RNAcentral.